This 669-nucleotide ribosomal RNA is filed under the name Pseudobacillus badius. Its description in RNAcentral is "bacterial SSU rRNA". It matches the Rfam family "Bacterial small subunit ribosomal RNA", at positions 558 to 1226 of the family's 1533-position model. The record is from RNAcentral. Lineage: Bacteria; Bacillati; Bacillota; Bacilli; Caryophanales; Bacillaceae.
GCGUAAGCGCGCGCAGGCGGCCUUUUAAGUCUGAUGUGAAAGCCCACGGCUCAACCGUGGAGGGUCAUUGGAAACUGGAAGGCUUGAGUGCAGAAGAGAAGAGCGGAAUUCCACGUGUAGCGGUGAAAUGCGUAGAGAUGUGGAGGAACACCAGUGGCGAAGGCGGCUCUUUGGUCUGUAACUGACGCUGAGGCGCGAAAGCGUGGGGAGCGAACAGGAUUAGAUACCCUGGUAGUCCACGCCGUAAACGAUGAGUGCUAAGUGUUGGGGGGUUUCCGCCCCUCAGUGCUGCAGCUAACGCAUUAAGCACUCCGCCUGGGGAGUACGGCCGCAAGGCUGAAACUCAAAGGAAUUGACGGGGGCCCGCACAAGCGGUGGAGCAUGUGGUUUAAUUCGAAGCAACGCGAAGAACCUUACCAGGUCUUGACAUCCCGCUGACCGGUCUGGAGACAGAUCUUCCCCUUCGGGGGCAGCGGUGACAGGUGGUGCAUGGUUGUCGUCAGCUCGUGUCGUGAGAUGUUGGGUUAAGUCCCGCAACGAGCGCAACCCUUGAUCUUAGUUGCCAGCAUUUAGUUGGGCACUCUAAGGUGACUGCCGGUGACAAACCGGAGGAAGGUGGGGAUGACGUCAAAUCAUCAUGCCCCUUAUGACCUGGGCUACACACGUGCU